Molecule: long non-coding RNA, 11222 nt
Organism: Phyllopteryx taeniolatus (common seadragon)
Lineage: Eukaryota; Metazoa; Chordata; Actinopteri; Syngnathiformes; Syngnathidae
Exons: 3
Source: RefSeq, a predicted model, not a curated record
AAAGUCUCUCUUUGCCUCCGUCGCUGAUUUAAGGCUACAGUUGGUUGCGUGUCGCUACUCUCCCUUUCUGCUCCAUCUGUCCCUCCCCCAUCCUCUCUCCUCUUUCUCUCCUUCCUCUCUUCAUUUCCCUCUCUCCCUCUCUCUGUCUGUCUCUCUCUCUCUCUUCACACCAAAGCCUGGGGGAGCCAGUGGAGAUUAUAUGUAGCCUCUAUAAGCCAAAGCACAUCAUGUAGCAAUGUUUCUGUGGCCCUCUCCCUCACUCUCUGAAGGGAUAAUGGGAUUGAUGUCGGCCCAUGGAAGAACGGAAAGAAAGACGGAAUGUAGGAAAGAAAGAAAAAGAAACAAAUCGUGUUUGCAAAAGGGAGCAGGGGAUUUCCUUCAAGGGUGCAAAACUGACAAUGGUAAGGUGGGGAAAAAAACAAGUCAAGGUCCACCCCCUUCUCCUUCUCUCUCUCACCUUACCCCUUUCCCUCGCUCAUCUGAUAGGGAAGAAAGAGUGGGCCUCUAGCUGGAACUGAUUACAGCUGUGGGGCAAAUCAAUGGAUGAUAUUGCUUCUCCCUUUCUCUCGGUUUUUUAAUGUUUCCUCUCUUUGCCAAUAAAUGUGAAGAGGAAAAUUAUGACGGGGGGAUUCUAAAGACAAAUACAGUACUAGGAUGAAAAAGGGGAGGAUUUGUCCAGGAGCUUUUUUUCCCCUGUCGUCUUUCUUUUCCACUUCUGAUCGAAAAAAGAGAAAAAAACAAAACAAUGAAAGAAAGCGAUGAGGAAGAGCAAAAUCCAAGCUGGACAAGAGAUUUGUGUACUUGUGUUUAUUGACGUGUGUGUGUGUGUCUGUCCAACCUGCCUUAAGACGUUCAAGUUCAGACACAAAAUUAGGCGCUGGUGCAAGGAAGGUAAAAGUGUGUGUGUGUGUGUGUGUGUGUGUCCGCUCAGUGAGUGAGGCUGCAUACUGGUAUGCUUCACUGGCCCUGUGCACCCGCCCGGGCUGCAAGCGCUCAUGCUGUUGCUUGAUACUCAGCCAUUCAAACUCCCCCUUCUCAACAUCUUGCGCUUGUGUAUCACUUCCAUCUAUUUUCCAGAAAGAGGAAUUACAUCGCCUAGUCUCCCUCUCUCCCUUUUCGUGUGUGAGGGAGAGAGCGAGAGAGAGAAAGGAGAGAGAGACAGAAAGCGAGAGAGAGAGAGAGAGAGAGAGAGAGAGAGAGAGGCACCACCGAUAGCGGGAGGAGAGAGAGAGAGCGUACACAUGGUUCAUUCCGACUCGGUCUAUCACCCAUCUCUCUUUCUUGCUUCUGCCAUCACUCUCUGACUGUGAGCAGUUUGCUUGAAACGAUGGUUCUGCUUUUGGUGAAGUCAUUAUUACUCAAACAAAAUCUUCUGUCGAUGCUACCUGGAAUCUCCUUGGUGUGCUGCUUUAACUUUAAAUCUGAGCUUUCUCUCUUUGCCUGUUUUUCUUUCAUCCUCUUCUGAGCAGGAAAGUGAGCUAGGAGACGAAAAAGCAGGAAUCGCCCGUUUCAAAAGCAGAGCCUCAUCUCUGCUGCAGACAAGAAGAAGCUACGUCAUUAAUAAGCAGCCCACGUUCUUCGACUUUUUGACAUGGCUGUAAAUGUUAGCAGCGCCCCCUUUGCGUGUGAAUCGAGCACGUCUUCCGUUCACCAUACCUACGCACAUUGGGUGGAGCAACAAGAUGGCGUCGUGCCUCCAUGUCAAGUCUCCUUUACAUGCCAAUUUCUGCUACAUAGGAAGCUUUAAGUCUGGAUUUCAUCCCACUCCUUUUUGAACAUGCAAAACUUGUGUUAAGUGUUUCAUUAUUUAUUGUUGAUUGUUUUGUUUUCAUCUUCAAAAUCAACUUAAAUUAAUCCAACGUAUCACACCCCUUGAUAGUUGGACACGCUCACCUCAUUCAUUGUACUUUAUAGAGAUUAAUGUCAUCAAUGAUAUGUCAACAAACAAAAUAUAUUCACAUCUGUGAACGUGCCUCAGCUUUAAUUGUGUUGCUUUUGUGUUCAUUCCCCACAACCACCACCACCAAAAAAGACCGCCGGGCUUGAUGUCAAGGUAGCGUGGGUCCGUCUGUGGUGUUGUCCUUCAUAUCGUGUUUAAUUUAUUCACCUUGUUGGAAAAUUGCUAUUUUCACAGACACAUGGCUAGGCAUGUGGCAUGGCAUGACAAAGGUUAAAAAAAAAUGUGUAUGAUGAAUAGAUAAUGAAUAGUAUAGUAUGAAUAGAAUAAUAAUCAACAGCUAAUCGAUUGUCAAAUUAAUCGAUAACGAUCUUGAUAAUCGAUUAAUCGUUUAGAGACCUUGUUUCACUUAAAAUUGUCCAAAUUUCAGCCUCUCAACAGUAAAUAUUGUCCGAUUUGUGUAGUCCUCCAUGAAAGCAGACUGAUUAAUCGAAAAAUAAUCGACAGAUAUAUAAUAUCACAAUCAUUACUUGCAGCACUAAUUGUAACUGCUCCGGCCUUCAAUUGAAGGGGAACAACGGUAUAUUUGAAAAUGAUGAUUGGAAGCUUUAAUGUCAUGUCUGAUUAAUAAUGGUUUGAGUAACCAAAAACUAAUUAUUUUUUUCCUUUUCAUCAUUUUAUUUUUAUCUCCUUUCAUGUAUUAUGCCAUAAAAUGUAAUUUUUAAAAAUGUUUUCUUCAAAAGGGCCACAGAGAAAGGAAACUGAUGGUUAAAGAAACUGUAAUUUCAAUUACAGUACAUGCUACACAUCCGGCCACUUACGUUCUUUAUUUUGAUGCAUCCUGUUUGUAGCACUUCACUUGUCUCCCAACCCGAGCUAACCAUGCAGCUAAAAUGUGAGCUUCUUCAAAAAGAGGGAAAUGAGGUUGGCGAGUUUCAACAAAAAGAACAGCACAUUUUGACAGAAAACACUUUACUAAGAGUCUUCAUUCCACCUGGAGAUUCCAGCAUUGCAAGUCUGCUAUGUAAACUGAUAUUUGUGGUGUUAAAGUUCCAACUAGCUUCUUUGGCAACAGUACACACAGCAGAAUCCAGAGAGCGUAAUUAUGAAAAAGGGGAAAAAAUGAUUACUUGCAGAUAGAGGAAUUUCAUUGGACAGAGAUUAAUAUUUACAGGGAAUAUAAACAGUCUACACUCCUGUGCAAAUGCUAGGUUUUCGUGGUAAGAAAAAAAAAAUGAGACCAAGGUAAAUAAUUUCUAAACGUUUUCCACCUUUAAUGUAAUCUAUUACCUGUACAACUCAAUUGAAAAAAACCCAAAAAACAUAUUUUCGUGAGGGGAAGUAAAAAUAAACUGAGGCAAAUUCAACCUUGGUUUCAUCAGACUGUAACGUAUUUUCCGACAUAUGUAGGAUCCAAUGAAACCAAGGUUGAAGUUUUUGUUCUUAAUUCCAAAAGGUAUUUUUGGCCCAAACACAACACUGGUUAUCACCCAAAGAACAGCAUAACUACAGUGAAGCGUGGGGGUGGCCGCAUCAGGCUUGAGGGCUGGUUUUCUCCAACUGUAACUGGCACCUGAGACAAGGUGGAAGGAAUUAUGAACAGUUCUAAAUAGUAGUUCGUCUUAGCACAAAACCUUCAAGCUUGUGCUUGAAAGCAAAGAAACAGUUGAACUUUAUUCAGGGUUAAUCAGAGGCACUUUAAAUGGUGGCAGGUGUGUGCUGACGCCCAUUUAUCAUGAGUUUGAAUGUGAUUGGUUAAUUCUGAACAGUUAUAACAGGGUGUUCACACUUAUGCAACCACAUUAUUUCCGUUAUUUUUACUUCCCCUCUUGAAAAGAUUAAAAAAAAAAUUCCAUUUGUUACAAGUUAUAAGUGAAAUUGAUGGUCGAAUUUCUUUUUUUUUUACUUUUUUUUUAAUCAUUUGGUCUCAUUUUUUAUAUCACAAAAACCUGCCAUUCAUACAGGAGUGUGUAGACUUUUUAUAUUAACUGUAGAUGUAAUGUUUAAAUAUGAACUGUCUAUGAAUUAACAUAUAAUCAUUAAAUUUGCAUUAUGAUAAAUCAUCAUGAAAUACUGUAUAUUGUUUUAUUAUGUAUGUAUUUAAAGGCACAAACACACCUCACCAAAGCGCACUACUGGAUUACCAGUUUCUUAUCUGCAUGUGGUUUAUGGUUUCAUUUGAUCCAUGUAAAAUGUUGCAGUUACCAUGGUGUUCCAAAUUACGAUUUAAGUGAAAUAAAGAUUUGAGUUUUUAGUUUUUCUAGGACACUUUUUGCUUAUGUCCAUUUAGAUCGAACCAAACAAAGCUGCAACAUUUGCAAGGAGGUGACAGAGUGACAUUUUUUUUUUCAACUCACUUCACAAUAAGCAGCAGUUUGGCAAAUAGUGAACAAUUCAUCAAAAAGAGGCUUCAAGCUGUUUAGUGCCACUCCCAGUUGAAGGUUACUGUCAAACUAAACAUAAAACAAAGACACAUUGUGCAAUUUAAAUCACUACGUAGGGCUAUGAAAGUCUGUUUAGCUUAAUGCUAACAUACAUGGAAAAUCAAAUUUACAGGCUGGCAGUUAGGAUUAACAGUCGCACACAAAGGUUGGAGCAACACAUUUAGACAUAUAUAACUCACAGCCAAGUAUUUGUUGUCCUGUAUGAAAAAAUUACUAAUAUUACAGCAUUUUACAGAGUAACUCACAGUAGAAGUAGUAGUAGUCGUGGUAGUAGUUGUAGUAGAAGAAGAAUAUUCUACUUUAUGACUACAUGACUGUAUUAUACUGCACUGCCACCCAGUGGCUAGGACGGGCAGAGCACAUUGACCUGGAUUGCGACAUUGAAUUAUGAUGCACAAACUGGUCAACUCCAUCCAUCCAUUCUCUGCUUAUCCUCACUCGGGUCACAAAUGUGCUGGAGCCUAUCCUCACUGACUAUGGAUGAGAGGCAGAACUGUUUAAUUGUUUAAGUUAUAUUGAAUUAUGUUAUUACUAAAGGUUUUUUUUUUUAUAAAGUACCUGUACAAUAUGGUAGAGUACAGUUUCAAUGGAUCAGAGAGUUAGGAUGAUAUCAAAGAGCGGUUCUUAUGUUAACAUGCAACUUGAUCUGCACAUUUGUAUUUUAAAACGGUCUCUCUGUGGUGACAGAAAUAUGAAAGUUUUUUCUAUUUGAGUUAUUUAUUGGAUUUUUAAAAAUGUUGUGCAUAAUAAUUUGGAGUGCUGCAUUUUGAGUAAAUAAAAACAAAAUAGCUACUGUUAUCGUUGUUGCGUGUGGUUGUUGUUGUUUUUUUUUUUUCAUUAACAUCCUCAAUAUCAUAGAAACUAACAUUGUCAUGAUCCAUUCAGAGUUUUUCAUUUGUUACAUUGUAAAAUAAAGACUAUCAGUCGCAUACCACAACGCUCUGUAUCUGUUUUGCAGUCCGGAACAAUUAAAACCGACCACAUGUAUAGAUUAUUAAUAAAUUAAAAAAAUAUGUUCACUGUAAUUCACAAUGACUCUUUAGGAAAAUAAACAGAAACACAUAAUACUAUACCUAUGAACUUGGAACACAGUGUCAUCACUUCUUGUGUACUGGGCAAAUUGAAUUCUUCUGUUUAUAACACAGUGCGGCACGGCGGUGACUGGUUAGCAUGUCUGCCUCACAGUUCUGAGGAGCCGGAUUCGCCCGAAGAUGGAUGGGAUAGUCUGCAGAACGCCCGCGACCCUAGUGAGGAUAAGCGGUACAGAAGAUGAUUGAAUAUUUAUAACACAAAAUGGUAAAGGUAGUACAGGUAUUUUUUUCCCCCACAAAGACAUGCUAUUUGAGUUAUUUAUAUAUUCUUUGGAUCUAUUUUUAUACCCUUUAGUGUCUUAUCGCUUUCACAAGAUUGCUUUUUAAAUUCCAUUUCAACGGUUUACUAAAGCCUGCUCGUAGCUGGAGAGGGUCUUCAUUGGCUCUAGAUUUGUCAAGAGUCACUUUUUGGAAAAUAGAGGGGUCAGACAAGUCACUAAAUAUAGCAACAAAGUCGCUAAAUUGUCAACACUGGGACAAUAAUCCACAAAAUGACUUGAUUGGCAGGACUCACAUUGCUUUCCUAUGGGGCCAGACUUGAGUACUGCACGUGCAUAAUGAAAGCUACCAGGCUUUACAGACUGAGGUAAAAAUAUGUUCCUGCAAGGUAAAUGCAUACAUGUUGGCAUUUCUACGUGUAACUGUAGCGAUGUUAUUGUGAUGCUUUGCAAAUGUACUGUUGAAACAGUCCUGUCUCUAUUUACAGCCUAUAGGCUUGGUUAGAACGCCUAAAUACUGUCAACAAUAUAUUCCUGAUACACCGGUAUAAUACGUUACAUUAAAACUAAAAAUCCUUUUUGUUAAGAGAUGAUGUUUAGUACCAUCUUUGUGUGCUGUCCAUUUUAUUCUCAACAUGUGAACCGUCAACGUCUAACUUCUACCAACAGGAACUACUGCCAUGCAAUUCUGAAUGCAACAAGGGUCCUUCUCUGCAUUGCUAUGUUCAAAACAUUGACUAGCUAACUAAAUUAUUUUUGGAAAUUUACAUUUGAAAUAGGACCUCAAAAAAAGAAAUGAUAAAAAUUUCCAUUUUUGUCAAUCAGGAAGGAGAUUGGCAAUCAAUUUGUCAAUUAAUAAUGUGCGAUGAAUAUCAUUUCCUUCAAUGCAAUUUCAAUGUGUUUUAUUUGAAUUUAGAUCAUUUCCCCUUCUUUUCACUAAAACCUACACAAAAUACGCUUGUUAUUGUUGUUCAUGCUCCUGCUGUCUCUAUCCAUCCAUUGCCUGCGUGCGCUGCCAGUAAAUCCAUGCUGAGAUUUGGCACACAACACACACGCACAUACACUCAAGAGCUCGGCAGGCAAAUGUAGGCCAGAAGCCAUCUGAGGAUGGGGCUCAGUGAAAGAUGCAGUAAGUCAGGCAACAAGGAAGAUAUUACAGACAAGAAAAGUCAUCUGGAAUAGAACGCAGGUAUGAGUUUUAGACUGUAUGAUGGACACACCCAUACCGUUGUUUAAGGUCUGGUUUUAUAAGCCAAUGCUUAAUAAAUGAGUAACAACUAAUGGGAAGGAAAAGCAUGGUGCAAAAGUGUGGUCAAAACAUUUAUAAAUAUUCUGCACUUUCAUUACUGACAAAUGAAAGUACAAAUUCUGCCAACAUCCCAAAUAAGUACAGUACAUUAACGGUAACAUUACUUUGCUUGCUCAGUGAAUCUUUCGAUGAAAUGCAACAAAAAUUCUUGCGUGCCAACUUUCUUAAAAAUGCAAGACAUAUACAGUAUGUGGCACACGAUUGAUUUUUAAAAAAAUAUAUAUUUUUUUGUCAUUUUAUUGAACUGUUCCACCACCUCCUUCAGAGGUUCUUAAAGAAUCCUCUCUUAUAGAAGACAAAUGUGAGUUCCAUGUUCAUGUUCAUGUGUCAUUCGUGUUUCAAUGUGUCUGCUGGUGUAUCCACACGGAGCCCUUCAAGGUCAGUGAAAGAACUCACAUUAAGUUCUCACAAAGACUGACUAACUUUUAUAUAGCGCUUUGAUUUGCAUGGACAGAUCUACUGCUUCCCACCUCACAAAGCUGGAGAGUCAGGUGCUACGCAAGCAUUUGAGCCUGAAAGUCAGUACGAUGUGGGAAACCAUUAAUUGCUCGCCCUCAAGCUGUCCCUGGAGGAAUGGAGACGAACGGCUACGGUAUUAAAACUAAUGGGAGGAAGUACCUUGAGAAAAGCCACAGAAACACGAGGAGGACAGGCGAACUCCGCACAGGAAGCCCAGAGGCGAGAUUUGAAUGCCAAACCUCAAAACUGUGAGUCAGAUGUGCUAACCACUAGGACACCAUGCUGUUCCAUCAAUGUCCAGAUAACAUUAAAAGUAUUUCCAAGAUGUUUAAUUGAUCUAUUGAUUGUAAUUGUCCUCCACCACAGUGACAGCCACGGGGAUGUUGUCCAGUUUGUUCAGGAUUUAUGGGCUUUUCAUAUUCUAGGAGUUCUGCCUGUUCAAGUCUCCAGUGUGACUACCUGUGAAAGAGGAGACCACCAGUAUCACGGACCUAUUGAAUAGUAAUGUAGAUGUCAAUGUAAAUGUAGUAAAUAACCAAAUUGAACUUUAUUUUGCACUCUAAAAGUAUUAUUUGUAUUAAUCAGUUAUUGAGGUUAUUUUUCAUUUCAUCUAUUCAAAUGUAGAAUAUGCUUAUGUUUAAGUUACACAGUGGUUAUAUUUCAAUUUGAAUAUAUAUUUUUCGUUCUUUGUUAUUUUUCAGGAUUUACUAAUAUCAUUUUUAUUUAUUUUAUUCAAUUGUAGUACAUUGUUAUUUUUAAAGUUACUUUAUGUAACCCAUUGGUUAAUAAUAAAUGGGUGAAUUUUUCUCAUACCUACUAUUGCGGAUUAUUGUGUUAUUGAGUAAUAUCACUUGAUCAAGCCUUUUGUAACAUUCCAUACUACAAAAUAAGUAAAGUGUGUAUGAUUAUUGCUGAUAUCGGAUCGGAGCAAUAUCGGUAUAGGCCAUAAUUCAAGGCUGCAAUAUCGGUAUCAGAUCGGGAGUAAAAAAAAUUGGAUGGGGAUAUCCCUAGUGGCGUGCUCCGAUAAUCUCAACACUGAACAUCACACACAUAAAGAUUGUCAUCUGCCGCCAAUCUAGAAAAAAGUGCCCCAAGGCAGAAAUCUCUCUUGAUCACGUGUGAUCUGACAAAGCAAAGAAGAACAAACACUUCCGGAUAUGUUGCGCCGAUGUUUGCUGAGUAUUGCCGAAGGGCGGGAGUGUUAUGGAAUGGUGAUGUCGUCAAAAAAGGACUUGCUUUGGAAAAUUCCUCUUGCCGUCUGGAGUGCCCAUUUUUAUACAAAAAAGGAUAUUGGUUGGGACAUGUUUGUUUUUAUUUGUGACUGCUUCAUUGUUCCUCAGGGCGCUUCUUUGUUUGGCUACAUUCCCUCCCACAUCACAAUUAACUUAGUCAUGACUGAAUAUUAUUUAAGAUUGUCGGCCUGACCCAUUUCUGACCCUAUUAUCGGAACAAAUUCCCCCUUAACACACCUCAGACUGAUAUGGUAAUCUUGUGGAAAAAUCUUGGAAACAUAAAAUAUUCUGAUGUUUGUCGUCUUUGGUCGUGAAAAUGGAAAACUGGGACACAAGCAGGACCAGUACCAGGAUUAACGUUGGUCAAUUCAGCAUCUGAGGCAAAAACUGCGCAGACCAAAGGAUGAACCAGACACGUGUUUUGCUCUUUUUAUGCUCCUGUUCAAGAUCAUUCUGUCAUUUGUUCUCAGGUAAGAGCAAAUCUUAUGGCGAACACUCAACAGUACUCACACAAGUAAAGCAAUUGAUGAUUAUGAUUUAUUUAAUUUGCCACUUCAUUGAUAUUAUAGGAUUUACAUUAAGAUUGCACAGAACUUCACAAGGUAGGGGUUCACCAACAAGAUGGGUACCUUUCACAUUUGAUUCAGUACUCAACGGUACCAAUUUUUGGUGCAUUUGUGUGGGAGAACAUGCAAAUUCCAGACAGGAAGGCCGGAUUUGAGCCCAGGUCUUCACAACUGUGAGUCAGAUGUGCUAACCAGUCGCCCACUGUAUAGUAUAAAGUGCGAAGCAACCUCCUUUGCAAUGGACUGCACAUAGAAACAAGAUAAACAGUAAUUGUGUUACGAUGUAUGACGUAUUAUAACUAAUGUAAAUUAAGAUUUUCAACUACGCACAUACUGUAUGUAUUACAACAUAACAUUGGAGGGACUGUUGGCAAGCUGCUGUGCCUCCUCCGGUGUUUUUCGCUAUUUUGUACUUAGUUUUAUCGCUUUACUAAAGAUUGUCUUAUAUGAAUGCCGGACCUUAAAGUCAUUUGUUAGACUCGGCUUGCUUGAUCGAACACUCUGCGACCCCGAAAGAGUAACUAAACACAAUUUAGCUGUCUGGUAGUAUCCUGCUUCACCACUCAUUGGCCUAAAGCUACCUUCGCUGGUACAGGGUUCACCUGUGUAGGACUUCUGUGGCUCCUUUCCGCGCUCUGUGGAUGGACAGCCUGCUCUGGUGUGCCCCACGAUGCACUCCUACUUGGACCAGUCUGCUGCCACCCUGCCAGCUUUCCUAAACGCUUACUUGCGCCCACUGAUUGCCGUCAACGCGAAGGACGUCCCCUCCCGACACACCGACCGGCCGGCCAGCUUGCUGCUAAUUCCGAAGCGCUGUCCAACUAGUCCCCGGCUCCAGCGAAUCUACAAUCAGUACACUCCACUCCUCUGGCUCUGCCAUGGUUUAACAUUGCUGCCGAUCUUCCGUCAUGCGCUGUCUGACUCUGACGAGCACUACUCCGCUGCUUCGUUACUCGGAGGCAAAGAUGUUAGGUCUUUGGAUCUUUUCAUGGAUUUUUCAGGAUACCGUCAAUCUAUGCUGGUUUGUUGUGAAUGUGAGUGAACCGAGGGACGUCAUUGCACUUGUACGUGCACUGCUGCAUCCAAGUGCCCCAUGGCAAUUGGCCAACUCUUCAAGUCCUGCUGCCCGUACAGUCACAAGGGUGUGCGUAGGUCCCGAAACAUGGUACUGAAUUCGAUCUGUAUCCCACCCCAAAAAAAUAACGAUUUCAUUACCCACCCUUACACAGUUAGACAUUCCUGUAAAUUCUACAAUUAUUUACCACAUGCCUUACUAUACUAAACGAUUAUGUCGAAAUUAACUAGUUUCCACUGCAUCAUGGGAUUUUGGUUGAUGUCACGCAGAGAAUUAGUGUAUUUUGCAUUCAGCAGAAUUGUGAAGCCGUGUACCUCCCAGCAUUCAUUGUGCCAUAUAAUGUUGAACUGUUGCUGUAAUAAAGACAUUAAUCCUUCAUGUUCACGAACAAUAAGGAUUAACGCAACAUUGAUCAUGUGUGUUUAUGUUACCCGUAGUUCGUUGAAUGUGUGUCUUAUUUAACAUGUACGUUGCGCUUUGUUUUCAUGAAACCCUGACUGUGGGUUGUGUGCAAUAGAGUAACAUCCCGGUCAGUUAUACGCCUUGGUAAGAUAAGGGUCACUUGGUCUACUUCUUCUGCAAGCCAAAAGCGCUCCUGUUUACUUGUGUGGCUCAUCGGCACCCACAAUGAAAAGAAACAUUGAUUUGACACUGCAGUAAGUUACCGUAGUUCAAGUUCAAAAAGCCUGUGAAAUGUCUAACAGUAUAGUCAACAACCUUUGACACUAUGAGAGCUGUUAUAACAAUGAAAGGAGCCAAGAGUUAUGUGUGUUUGAUUCGUUUCCCCACUUGCACAACAUAAUAGUAUCCAAUGCAAGAACGGUAUACCAAAUUGUACAUUAACCAAACUAAUAAUGUCAAAUUUUUAUUGAUACUGUCAGAGAGGUAUUAAUUUAAAAACGUUCCUUAUUGUGAUUGUUGUAUGUAGUGG